ACUCAAAUGAAUUGACGGGGGCCCGCACAAGCAGUGGAGCAUGUGGUUUAAUUCGAUGCAACGCGAAGAACCUUACCUGGGCUCGAAAUGUAGAGGACGAUAUCAGAGAUGAUGUUUCCCGCAAGGGCUUCUAUAUAGGUGCUGCAUGGCUGUCGUCAGCUCGUGCCGUGAGGUGUUUGGUUAAGUCCAGCAACGAGCGCAACCCUUAUCGUUAGUUGCCAACACGUGAAGGUGGGAACUCUAACGAGACUGCCUGGGUUAACCAGGAGGAAGGUGAGGAUGACGUCAAGUCCGCAUGGCCUUUAUGUCCAGGGCUACACACGUGCUACAAUGGUCGGUACAGAAGGCAGCGAAGCCGCAAGGUGGAGCAAAUCCCAAAAAACCGAUCUCAGUUCAGAUUGUAGUCUGCAACUCGGCUACAUGAAGUUGGAAUUGCUAGUAAUGGCGUGUCAGCAACAACGCCGUGAAUACGUUCCCGGGCCUUGUACACACCGCCCGU
RNAcentral lists this ribosomal RNA (499 nucleotides) under uncultured bacterium. RNAcentral's name for it is "partial 16S ribosomal RNA". It matches the Rfam family "Bacterial small subunit ribosomal RNA", at positions 899 to 1397 of the family's 1533-position model. The record is from RNAcentral.